AUGAGGGCUUAUGCAGACAACAAGGUUGGUACGAUUGUCAACCCUGCGCUCGGAACUAGCUUUGACACGGUUGAAGAGGUAUAUGAGUUUUACAACCAAUACUCAUGGGAGACGGGGUUCGGCAUUAGGUAUGCCAAAGGCAGGUUGAACGUCCAUCGGAAAAAAUGCAUGCAGGAGUUUGUGUGCGCGUGUGCGGUGAGGAUGAUUCAUUAA
Molecule: ribosomal RNA, 213 nt
Filed under: Triticum aestivum (bread wheat)
Lineage: Eukaryota; Viridiplantae; Streptophyta; Magnoliopsida; Poales; Poaceae
Description: partial small subunit ribosomal RNA
Source: RNAcentral